Molecule: ribosomal RNA, 252 nt
Filed under: uncultured bacterium
Lineage: Bacteria
Description: partial 16S ribosomal RNA
Rfam family: Bacterial small subunit ribosomal RNA
Source: RNAcentral
UACGGAGGAUGCGAGCGUUAUCCGGAUUUAUUGGGUUUAAAGGGUGCGUAGGCGGAUUUUUAAGUCAGCGGUAAAAUGUCCGGGCUCAACCCGGGCCGGCCGUUGAAACUGGGGAUCUUGAGUGGGCGAGAAGUAUGCGGAAUGCGUGGUGUAGCGGUGAAAUGCAUAGAUAUCACGCAGAACUCCGAUUGCGAAGGCAGCAUACCGGCGCCCGACUGACGCUGAGGCACGAAAGUGCGGGGAUCGAACAGG